UCUGCAACUCGACUACAUGAAGCUGGAAUCGCUAGUAAUCGCGGAUCAGAAUGCCGCGGUGAAUACGUUCCGGGUCUUGUACACACCGCCCGUCACACCAUGGGAGUCAGUAACGCCCGAAGCCGGUGACCCAACCUAACCAGGAGGGAGCCGUCGAAGGCGGGACGGAUGACUGGGGUGAAGUCGUAACAAGGUAAC
This 198-nucleotide ribosomal RNA is filed under the name uncultured bacterium. RNAcentral describes it as "partial 16S ribosomal RNA". It matches the Rfam family "Bacterial small subunit ribosomal RNA", at positions 1304 to 1500 of the family's 1533-position model. The record is from RNAcentral.